RNAcentral lists this ribosomal RNA (253 nucleotides) under uncultured bacterium. Its description in RNAcentral is "partial 16S ribosomal RNA". It matches the Rfam family "Bacterial small subunit ribosomal RNA", at positions 524 to 776 of the family's 1533-position model. The record is from RNAcentral.
UACGGGGGGGGCAAGCGUUGUUCGGAAUUACUGGGCGUAAAGGGCUUGUAGGUGGCCAAUUAAGUCAGACGUGAAAUCCCUCGGCUUAACCGGGGAACUGCGUCUGAUACUGGAUGGCUUGAGUGUGGGAGAGGGAUGCGGAAUUCCAGGUGUAGCGGUGAAAUGCGUAGAUAUCUGGAGGAACACCGGUGGCGAAGGCGGCAUCCUGGACCAACACUGACGCUGAUGAGCGAAAGCCAGGGGAGCAAACGGG